This 497-nucleotide ribosomal RNA is filed under the name uncultured bacterium. RNAcentral's name for it is "partial 16S ribosomal RNA". It matches the Rfam family "Bacterial small subunit ribosomal RNA", at positions 28 to 507 of the family's 1533-position model. The record is from RNAcentral.
GAUGAACGCUGGCGGCGUGCCUAAUACAUGCAAGUCGAGCGAACGGACGAGAAGCUUGCUUCUCUGAUGUUAGCGGCGGACGGGUGAGUAACACGUGGAUAACCUACCUAUAAGACUGGGAUAACUUCGGGAAACCUGAUCUAAUACCGGAUGAUAUUUUGAACCGCAUGGUUCAAAAGUGAAAGCCGUUCUUGCUGUCACUUAUAGAUGGAUCCUCGCUGCAUUAGCUAGUUGGUAAGGUAACGGCUUACCAAGGCAACGAUGCAUAGCCGACCUGAGAGGAUGAUCGGCCACACUGGAACUGAGACACGGUCCAGACUCCUACGGGAGGCAGCAGUAGGGAAUAUUCCGCAAUGGGCGAAAGCCUGACGGAGCAACGCCGCGUGAGUGAUGAAGGUCUUCGGAUCGUAAAGCUCUGUUAUUAGGGAAGAACAUAUGUGUAAGUAACUGUGCACAUCUUGACGGUACCUAAUGAGAAAGCCACGGCUAACUACGUG